Homo sapiens (human) is the source of this 113-nucleotide ribosomal RNA. NCBI's taxonomy places the organism in Eukaryota, Metazoa, Chordata, Mammalia, Primates, Hominidae. The record is from Ensembl.
AUCUAUGACCAUGCUACCCUGAAUGUGCCUGAUCUCAUCUGAUCUUGGAAGCUAAGCAAGGUUGGGCCCGGUUAGUACUUGGAUGGGAGACCAAAGUGCUGGCAUUACAGGCA